AACGAACGCUGGCGGCAGGCUUAACACAUGCAAGUCGAACGCCCCGCAAGGGGAGUGGCAGACGGGUGAGUAACGCGUGGGAACGUACCUUUCGCUUCGGAAUAUUCCCGGGAAACUGGGAGCAAUGCCGAAUACGCCGUAUUGGGAAAGAUUUAUCGGCGAAAGAUCGGCCCGCGUUAGAUUAGCUAGUUGGCGGUGUAAUGGACCACCAAGGCUACGAUCUAUAGCUGGUCUGAGAGGAUGAUCAGCCACACUGGGACUGAGACACGGCCCAGACUCCUACGGGAGGCAGCGGUGGGGAAUCUUGGACAAUGGGCGCAAGCCUGAUCCAGCCAUGCCGCGUGAGUGAAGAAGGCCUUAGGGUUGUAAAACUCUUUCGCCGGAGAAGAUAAUGACGGUAUCCGGAGAAGAAGCCCCGGCUAACUUCGUGCCAGCCGCCGCGGUAA
Molecule: ribosomal RNA, 446 nt
Filed under: uncultured bacterium
Lineage: Bacteria
Description: partial 16S ribosomal RNA
Rfam family: Bacterial small subunit ribosomal RNA
Source: RNAcentral